Molecule: ribosomal RNA, 516 nt
Filed under: uncultured bacterium
Lineage: Bacteria
Description: bacterial SSU rRNA
Rfam family: Bacterial small subunit ribosomal RNA
Source: RNAcentral
AGAGUUUGAUCCUGGCUCAGGACGAACGCUGGCGGCGUGCCUAACACAUGCAAGUCGAACGAAGCAUUUAAGUGAAUCCCUUCGGGGUGAAGCUUUUAUGACUUAGUGGCGGACGGGUGAGUAACGCGUGAGUAACCUGCCUUUCAGAGGGGGAUAACAGUUGGAAACGACUGCUAAUACCGCAUGACGUAUUUGAAUCGCAUGAUUCGGAUACCAAAGCUGAGGCGCUGAAAGAUGGACUCGCGUCUGAUUAGAUAGUUGGUGGGGUAACGGCCUACCAAGUCGACGAUCAGUAGCCGGACUGAGAGGUUGAUCGGCCACAUUGGGACUGAGACACGGCCCAGACUCCUACGGGAGGCAGCAGUGGGGAAUAUUGCACAAUGGGCGAAAGCCUGAUGCAGCAACGCCGCGUGAGGGAAGACGGUCUUCGGAUUGUAAACCUCUGUCUUUGGUGAAGAAGAAAGUGACGGUAACCAAGGAGGAAGCCACGGCUAACUACGUGCCAGCAGCCGCGGU